AUCAGUAUUAUUAUUAUUCUAUUCUUCUCAGGCUUCCUUAUAGCUGAGGCUUUGCUGCUUGACCCUCCACUCUUGUUCCCUCCACCUGAAAUGCCUUUUAGCCACAUCUAACUAAAAGGAGUCUGGCCACCAGCAUGAAGUAGAGGCAUUUCCAUUAUUUUCACCUCACCAUCUAACUCAUCAGCUUGGGGUUGUAACAUGGGAUAAACGUCCAGGACAUCAGAGGAAAGAGAAGACCCCAGUUUUCUCUGGACCAGCCAACAUCCCUCCAUCCCUGCCCAUGGAGAGCUUUCUCUUGUGCUAGCUGUUUUUCUUCUACUUAGCUCUCAGGAUCCAUAAACUACCAGCUUUGCCAAAGAUGAAAGAACAGACCACACUGUAGCCAGUUUAUGUGUCCCCUAUAUCCUGAGGCUUCUCUCUACUAUUCUCUCAAGAAGCAGGAACCAGCCAUCCUGGGCCUUGCAAUCACCACUGUUUUAUAGCUGGUCUCAGUACUCUCUGUCACAUCAGAGAAACCCAUAUGUGCCAUCAUGAAAGACCAG
This 542-nucleotide long non-coding RNA is filed under the name Canis lupus familiaris (dog). RNAcentral's name for it is "lncRNA (ENSCAFG00845026727.1)". Lineage: Eukaryota; Metazoa; Chordata; Mammalia; Carnivora; Canidae. The record is from RNAcentral.